This 201-nucleotide ribosomal RNA is filed under the name uncultured bacterium. Its description in RNAcentral is "partial 16S ribosomal RNA". It matches the Rfam family "Bacterial small subunit ribosomal RNA", at positions 1300 to 1500 of the family's 1533-position model. The record is from RNAcentral.
GUAGUCUGCAACUCGACUACAUGAAGCUGGAAUCGCUAGUAAUCGCGGAUCAGAAUGCCGCGGUGAAUACGUUCCCGGGUCUUGUACACACCGCCCGUCACACCAUGGGAGUCGGGAAUGCCCGAAGCCAGUGACCCAAGCGAGAGCAGGGAGCUGUCGAAGGCAGGCCGGAUAACUGGGGUGAAGUCGUAACAAGGUAUC